This 26-nucleotide non-coding RNA is filed under the name Mus musculus (house mouse). The record is from RNAcentral. Lineage: Eukaryota; Metazoa; Chordata; Mammalia; Rodentia; Muridae.
UAGCUGUUCUUUGCUAUUUUGUGGGU